AGAUCAUAUUUGGUAUUGGCUUCUGGAUUGGUAGUGUGGAGAUGGAUGGGCCUCGACAGAAUGAUCAUUUGGGUGUGAACAAGAUUGGGAAGAACAUCAGGAAGAGUCCUCUUCACCAGCCCAACUUCGGUGCCAAUGCUAAUGCUGCCGCUGCCGCGAGGCCUCAAGGGCAGCCUCAGGUUUAUAAUAUAAGCAAGACCGACUUCAACCAGCCCAACUUCGGUGCCAAUGCUAAUGCUGCGAGGCCUCAAGGGCAGCCUCAGGUUUAUAACAUAAGCAAGACCGACUUCAGAAGUAUGGUUCAGCAGCUGACUGGCUCUCCGUCGCGUGAGAGUCUCCC
This 340-nucleotide long non-coding RNA is filed under the name Brassica napus (rape). RNAcentral describes it as "long non-coding RNA (BNAP_LNC006250)". The record is from RNAcentral. Lineage: Eukaryota; Viridiplantae; Streptophyta; Magnoliopsida; Brassicales; Brassicaceae.